UUUCUCAACAAUUGGAUCCCGAUACGUUCGAUUUGGUGUGUUUUUGAGCAAUUAAUGAAUGGACACCCUUAGGUGGGACCCACUAAGCUUAUGAACACCAACUUCCAGCUCAUUCUUUGCCCAUAGCUUUUGCCCACGUGACUCUCUUCUCCUCACCAUCUUACUUUACUUGCACUCCUCCAUUUCCCAGUACAAGGUAUGGCUUCAAAAUGCAUGUGUGUGUAUGCUUUUACUAUAAAUAGGAGGCUUCGGUUCCUCAUUUAACACACCAAUCUCCACUCUCCAGUUCCUCUUCUAUAUCCCUCUCUAUCCCAAUCCCUCUCUCUCUCUCUCUCUACACUCUCUCCAAGAGCUCUCCCGGUUUACACCUUUAACCAUCCUAACACCACCACCCUCAACCACUAAAACCACCCAAAACACCCCUAUUUCUCUUAUACACGACUGCCAAGCUCCUCCAAAAAAAAAAAAAAAAAAAUUCAUACUAUUGCUACCUAUUUCCCUCGUCGUUGUCGGCCAACAGAAAGGAAGAAAAUAGAGGCAACAAAGCUGCCAGAAGCAGCUCCGCCACCUCACUGCCGCCGCUACUGUGGAAGUCCGACCAACCAUCACCACUGCUUUGCUACCGCAGUAGGUAACUAAAUUAAUUCCGGCGGUUCGUUUUAGAAGCAACACAUUUCGGUUUCUCGCAUCAAAUACGCAAAACGACUCAUUAACCGCUUGAUAAGGUCAGUGAUGAACAGGUACAUCCCAUGAGCUUUUGUGAAGACAGUCUAUUACCGAGCUGCAUCUAUGUUAUGUUCUGUAAUUACUUUGAUAUUACUAUAACCUGUAACCGAUGUAAAAUUAUUACUACUAAUGCAAUGGUUGUUGUACUUUGA
Molecule: non-coding RNA, 878 nt
Organism: Lactuca sativa (garden lettuce)
Lineage: Eukaryota; Viridiplantae; Streptophyta; Magnoliopsida; Asterales; Asteraceae
Source: RefSeq, a predicted model, not a curated record